This is a long non-coding RNA of Mya arenaria, 823 nucleotides long. RefSeq lists it as uncharacterized. The transcript is spliced from 4 exons. The record is from RefSeq and is a predicted model, not a curated record. NCBI's taxonomy places the organism in Eukaryota, Metazoa, Mollusca, Bivalvia, Myida, Myidae.
CGAAGAUUUACAGAACAAAACAAGGACUAUGCAAGCGACUGACUUCAGCGUCUAUGUGUAUAAUGAAUUCCAUCAAUGAAGCCUUUGAAAAAAAAGCGGGCCAUACCCCAGUCCUUGCCUGUGGGAAUGUGGUGUUUCACAGGAGGUCAGAUGGCAUUCCAUGAUGGAAUAACAUCUCUUAUCAAAUUCAGCAGGUCAAAAAUGCUCUUUACCAUCCACAGACAGUAUUUGGCAGACAAGGAACAAGAAAUUCCACUUAAUUUAAUAGCUGUUUGGAUGUGCAUGAACAGCUAUGCAUCCGGUGCUGGUUUGUUAACAUGCAGGGGCUGCCACAAUCUUCCUUUAGGAUAACAAGGAUGUCAGUUUCCAGCAAAAUAAUCCAGGAAGAACCCCAGGUCUUACUGUUAAGGAAUGCAAUGAGGUUGUGACCAUUAGGCUCAAAGCGGUGGAGAAAGAUGUCUGGCCAGGAGACAUAUUGAUGUUAUGCUUUACUGAUGUUGUUGCCAACACCUACAAACCAUUCACUACAACUACCACAACGAACAAUGUUCUGGUAAUGCAGAAAAUCUGAGCUACCUUUGUGAAAGAGGCCAAGAGAGGAUUGGAUGGUGGAGUUUCAGAUGACACAAUGCUGACUGUUUCCACCCAGCUGAUUUUGCUUCCUACUGGCAGCAGAAGGAAGUCUUCACUUUUAUUUUAAACAAUUCAGUUUUAAUGCCACCAAUUUGUCAAGAUAACAAGCUAACUGAACAGAUUGAAAUUACACCAACUUCCUUCAUUAACAGAAACUAUCUGUGUACCUGGACCAUCAGCUUGAACAGUA